RNAcentral lists this ribosomal RNA (282 nucleotides) under Thanatephorus sp. Its description in RNAcentral is "partial 28S ribosomal RNA". It matches the Rfam family "Eukaryotic large subunit ribosomal RNA", at positions 40 to 316 of the family's 3401-position model. The record is from RNAcentral. Lineage: Eukaryota; Fungi; Basidiomycota; Agaricomycetes; Cantharellales; Ceratobasidiaceae.
AUAUCAAUAAGCGGAGGAAAAGAAACUAACAAGGAUUCCCCUAGUAACGGCGAGUGAAGCGGGAAGAGCUCAAAUUUAAAAUCUGGUAGCAUGCGCUGCCCGAGUUGUAGUCUAGAGAAGCAUCAUCCGCGCUGGACCAUGUACAAGUCUCUUGGAACAGAGCGUCAUAGAGGGUGAGAAUCCCGUCCUUGACAUGGACUACCAGUGCUUUGUGUUGUGCUCUCAACGAGUCGAGUUGUUUGGGAAUGCAGCUCAAAAUGGGUGGUAAAUUCCAUCUAAAGC